This 14449-nucleotide long non-coding RNA is filed under the name Nicotiana tabacum (common tobacco). Its description in RNAcentral is "long non-coding RNA (NTAB_LNC009619)". The record is from RNAcentral. Lineage: Eukaryota; Viridiplantae; Streptophyta; Magnoliopsida; Solanales; Solanaceae.
AAAAAAUACGCCUAAGACUCUAGGACCGAAGAGAUCACUAUCCGCCGUUUCAUCAAAAACAACCCCCCCGAUUCCUGAUCUCCUUCAAGAAAAAAGAAGAAGCAAACAGAAACAAGCCUAGGAGACCUAAGAUAGAGACAGAAUCCAUCGUUGUUGACCAUAAUACACGGACCCCUCCCAUGUCAUUCAUCUUCUUCAGCAGCCAUUAACAAGAGAGAAGCCAACCAUCUUCUCCACACCCAUCACCUAUACACACACCAGCCACCUCCGCCAGCCACUCUACUCACCGGAAAAAGACCAGCUCCUAGCCGUCACCGACCACCCCAAGACCAUCGUCCCUCUCCACACAUAAAUGCCCAGCAGCAGACGCCCAUCUCUACUCCUUCUUCCUCCACGAAAAUCAGUUCAAAGGUCCCCUAGACCCAGCCAAAAUAACCUCCAAAGCCCAGACGAAAAUCAGUACCAAGCAGUCCCAAAAACCACUAUCAAAACCCGGUUGAGGUUCGAGUUCCGUGCAGAGGUCGUCGGAUUAUCCUGAUAUUGUUUCCCAUUGUACUGAUGGACCGUAUGCGAUUGUGUUCGAUUCGAAGAAGGAGCUUCAUCAUUAUCUCUGUGAUCAUUCUUUUCUGAUUGAUGUUGAAACUAAGGUAAUUUAUUGCCUAUAUGAUGGAUUAUCUGAUAUGUAUUUGUUUUUUUUUUGGUUUAUGAUAGUGUUAUCUACUAUGUUUCUUUAUUUUGAUUUUGUUGGAAAUGAUAUUUCUAAUCUCGAGUUUUGUUCCUUGUUUGAGAAGUCGAAACAUGUGAAUUUCUUUGUAUGGAAUAUUCCCGAUGAAGUGUAGCAGUGUGCUAUUGCUUUCUUUCAUAAGAAUCAUGUAAACAAGAAUUUUAGUGCUAGAGUAUUUAUUUUGUUUAGGGGUUUGAUUUUAUUAUAAUUUUUGUUAAUUCAAUGUAUGCCAAUAACUAGAACUUCUAGUUCGUUUACCUUUUCAAUUCCUCGGGAUUGCUCUAAAUUUUUUCAUUAAUUUGCUUCUUUUUUUGUUCUGUUAUUUGACAUGAAGAUACAUUAGAAAGAUGUGAUUUUGUUUGCGUGAUAUGAUUACGGUAUCUAAAAUAAAUAUUCGUAGAAAAGCCUUUAGGCGCGUUUAAAAUGCAAUUGUGAUGGUGUACACGUUCGCGUGAUAUAAUCACGAUUCUAAAACCAAAUCGGAGUAUGCGUUCGCGCAACUUUGACCAAACUUUCUUAAUAAUGAAAGUGUUAUUAAUAGACCAUUAAUUUAAUUUAGUUCAUAUAGUUCGAGGCGUGCCAUCCACAAUUUAAUAAUUCAUGGCCCUCGUAUUAAUCUUAUGACUUAGAUAUAAAAAUGACAAGUGUUCGUAGUUGCUUUAGGCCCGUUUAAUGUAUCGUUGUGAUUGUGGACACGUUCGCGUGACAUGUUACGAUUUCUAAAAAAACAAAACCAGAGUAUGCAUUUGCACAACUUCGGCCAAAUUUUCCUAAUAUUAAUAAAGCGUUAUUAAUUGUGGACAUGUUUGCGUGACAUAAUUUUUGACGCACCAAACAAAUGGGUACAUGUGUGCGUGACCUGUUUAAAGAUAAUUUCUUAAUUAAAAGGAGGGGAUGCACAUAGGUUCUAAAAUGAUUAGUUAAACAACUUAAUAAGCCAAAUAUGAUCAAAGCAACCGUGCUAAAACCACGAAACCCAGGAAUGCCUAACACCUUCUCCCGGGUUAACAGAAUUUCUUACCUGGAUUUCUGUAUUUGUAGAACGUAAAUAAGAAUUAAUUUCCUCGAUUCGGGAUUUUAAACCGGUGACUUGGGACACCAUAAGUUAUCCCAAGUGGCGACUCUGAAUUUUAAAUAAAAUAAUCAUGUUUCGAUUGUCACUUAAAUUGGAAAAAACUCCCUUACUCCCUCUCGGGGGUAGGAAAAAGGAGGUGUGAUAGUGGACGAUUGGGAUUAUCUGGGAGAUGAGGGUUGAUAUGUGGGUGGUGGUUCUUGGUACGUGGGUGGAGGUAUUUGAUAUGUAGGUGGAGGUGUUUGAUAUGUAAGUGGAGAUUUUGGGACUUGAGCCACCAUUACUGCCCCAACAUCUCUCUUAUUUGAUAUACCGCCUGAUUGUAAUGCCUUGUUUGUGGCUUGUAAUGCCUCAAAGUUUGUUAUCAUCGCACUCUUGAUGCCUUCUUUGAUUCUUUCCCCAUGUUUGAUGAUAUCAGAGAAUUUAUGAUUUUCAAUAACCAUCAACCUUUCAUAAUAUUGUGGAUCAUGUGCUCUGACGAAGAACUUGUUCAUCUGUUCCUCAUCCAAAGAUGGUCUGACCUUGGCUGCUUCUGACCUCCAACGGGUGGCAUACUCGCGGAAAGUGUCGGUGGGAUUCUUCUUAAGGUUUUGAAUGUAGAAAACAUCUAGUGCAUUUUCUGUGUUGAACCUGAAUCGGUCCAUGAAAUCAGACGCCAUACUCACCCAGUUGGACCAUUUCUUAGGAUCCUGGCUGAUGUACUAGGACAAAGCAUCUCCCGUAAGACUUCUCAGAAAGAGUUUCAUUCGGAUCCUUUCAUCCUUUCCGACCCCAACAAGCUUGUCAUAAUAGGUCCUCAGAUGAACCCUAAGAUCACCUGUACCGUCAAACAUCUCGAACUUAGUAGGUUUGUAUCCCUCUGGAAGUUCUACAUCUGGCUGUAUGCAUAGGUCUUCAUAAUUCAAACCUUCUAUCCCUUUACCUCCUUCGACACCCUGAACUCUACUUGUCAACUUCUUGAGUUCCUCAGCCAUGUUCUUGAUGAGCAGGUCCUUCUCAGCGGAUUCUGGUGUAUAGGAAGUUAGUUGGAUAGAGUGAGGUAUGGUUUCCAUGUAUAUAAGGUUGUUUUAGUGAGUUCCAGAUGCCUGAGUGUAGUGGUGGUCAUUGGUUAAGUUUUGAGGAUCAGGAAUGGGUUGUGGUGUGUUUUGGGGAGUGUGAUAAAUGGCGGUUGGUGGGUAUUGGAUUGGUUGAUGGUGGUGUUAUGGUGGAGUUGGUAUCGGUAAGGGAUUGAGAUUUUGAGGUGGGGUUGCGUAUUGAUGCGGUGCAGGAGGGUUUUAUGGAUGUUGGUUUGGUGUGUUUUGGGGAGGUGCUGGGUUCUUUGUGUUUUGAUGGUUGAUGUCGUGGACAUUCAGGGUGAGGGAUAGGUUUGCCAAGUUGUGGACCUGCUCAAGAUCUCCCUGUAACUCUAGUAUCUUUUGUUACAACCUCAAGACUAGUCAUUUGGUGCCGGAGUACUCCGACCGUCUGAAGUUUCUGCAUUUUCCACAUUCUCCUUUCGAAUACCACUUAAGUCAUCCAUUUUAGCUUUCCCUUUGCUCUUUGUGUUGCUUGGAGGAGGAGGAGGUGGAGAACCUCUAGAUUUGGUGUGAUACGCCGAUGAUGCCAGUAUGAGCGAACCAACCUUAGGGUAUGGGAAUAAAGAAUAAUGAAAAACAAAAUGUAAACAAGUCAGUAAGGGUUCUGAAACGUUUGCAGUAUUUAAACACAUUUUGCAUGAAUGUAAAUUCGCAUCCUAAUUUGGGAACCUCGUUGUGCCCGAGGUAGGCCUAGAGACAAAUAAAUUUGGAGAAUUUUAGUGCCAAUAACUGCCUCAUUUCAUUAAUGUAAAAAUAAACGACCCAAAACAAAACUAAAUAAGAUAAUGUUGCUAGUGGCACUUGGCCUUAUUACAUUCAAAAGUAAAGCAAGUAAAUCUAAUCUACUUGGUCCCAGAAGGACCCUCUCCAGACCGGAUGCUGUUGUCGAUCAAAUCUCCUAGCUCGUGCAGGUUCAGCAGUAGGAAUGUCCUUGCCAGAUGCCCUUCUUCAUUUUUUCAGUGUUUUGACAAUCGGUGACCCUCUAUCUUAUCUUUCCCUCUAAUUUUAUCAAAUUGUACUCCAGAUAUUCCAACCUCUCCCUGGAUUUAACAGCUUUUUCUUUCCACUCGUUAAUCAUCUCUAUGUCAGCCUUAUGAUGCGCCAUAUGCUCGGCAUCAGACUCUCAAACUCUUUUCCGCAGCCUGUUGUACUUCACCUCUGCUUCGGUGAAUUCAUCUAUGAACCUGUUUCUUGGGCCAACUCUUGGCUCAAAGACUCCUAACAGAUUAUCAUCCAACCACGAGGGGUAAAAGAAUGAGUGGCCUACAUGGUAUCUGUCCGGCUCAAUAGUAUCAUUCUCCACAAUAAUCUUCAAAGUCCAAAUAUGUUGCGCUUCAUUAUUAUAUGGGAUGGCAUCACCAUGGAAAUCGGCUCUGAAGUGGCUCAUCUUAGCAACCCGUGGUAUGACUUGUCUCCUGCCUGCCUGUCUCGUAACUCUAAGUGGAGCAUAAAUAUAUAUCCCUCUUAACCCGAUCAACACCAAAUGCGGGACAUCUCUAGAUAUUAUGUUGAACUCGUCAGUGGGGAACCACUCGAACAUCCACUGAACCUGGUCUUCAGUCAUCUUGUUGAAAAACUGCACCCAUCCUACAACAUCCUUAGGUUGAUCGAACAUGUCCGGAAUGUAGGUCAUUCACUUAGGGUGAUGGAAGGUUAUGUGAUCAUUCCACGGUCUUCAUGGAAACUCUUGGCGAUAUUGGCCCCUUUGGAGAUGUUCUAACAUCCACACUUGUAACAGCAAGUUGCAGCCCUCAAAGAAUCCGAACCCCUUUUGACAGCGUUCUACGGCAUGGUAUAUGUCUGCAACGAUCAUAGGGAUAAUAGUAUAUGUCUGCCCCUCUAUCCCGUCCAUUAGAGUUUUGGCCACCAUAGACAACCUAGUAUGGAUUCUAUCCCCUUGGAUUGGGAAUACCAGCAUGCCCAAGAAGCACACAAUGAACACGAAGACCCUACGAUAGACCCAGCCCAAAGAAGUGGUUGAGAACUCAUCAUCAAAAAUACGGUAAGAGUUGUUGUGACCGUAUCUUUCAUGAAGGAAAUCAAAAGGUAUGUAGGAGUUUUUCAGGCACUCCAAAUCAUCAUUUUUCUUCAGCCCCAUCAUCUUAAGCAACCUUCAAGUGGUGCAAUUUUCAGGUGCUAGCAGGACAGGGCUAUCCCAAGGCAACCCAGCAAAUCCCCCUAUUUCUUCUAGAAGGGGAGUUAUUUCUAUGUCUCCAAAACGGAACACAACCCUUUCCUUAUCCCAAAAUAGAGUGGCAGCCUCGAUUAGCAUCUUGUUUGGUUGAAGAUCCAAUAGUGAUAGUAAAUUACUCAAGACUCUUUUCACAUGAUUUUGGUCACUUGAGGGAAGAUCUCUCCACCAAUCUAUCAAAAGUGGAGGAAUACUACCGACCAUACCGAAUCUAGGGACUUCGUGCCUCAUUUUCUACAAAACAAGAGAGAGUUAGGUCAUUUCCCCCUCUAGGUUCAUCUAUUUAUACAGUAAUGAUUAGCAAAUUGGCAUUUAUUUCUCCAAAUUAAUGCACACAAUCGUGGUUACGUCAGUUGGGAUUGUGGAAAACCCGAUGAACUUUUGAACGAGGCUUGUCUUAAAGGGUUAUUAUGCGGACAACAUAUUAACCCGACUAGGUUUGACCAUGAUGCAUGCACAACUAAUCAGAGUAAGGCUGCUAUAGAGGCCUAGACUGGGACCCUCAAGCGGAAAACUUGAGGGGGAAAGGCACGGAACCGUCGAACGCACCGCUGAUCGACUAGUUUUACCGUAAAUACGCCUUUCCGAAUUUAAAGGUUGAUAUAUAAGAAGAGCGCAAACACUCAUCAAGUGUUUCUAUAGGAUUGAUUAUGCACAAGUGGAAUAUGAUGUUGAGCAUGAUUUAUGCAGCAAUAAAUAGCAUGUUGUCAAGUAUUUGCACGUAAAAAAUGAUAAAUGCAGUAUUUAAAUAAUUAAAAGAUAGUUACAAAAAAAGAAAACAAAGAGACAAGUCGGUUUCAGGAAAAUAAAGAAAUCAUAAAUGCUUGAAAAUAGACAGUUAAAUUCAAAUAAGGGGAAAUGGUACGUGGGAUAGAUCAUGCUUGGACUAAUUCACAAAAAUAACUUCGUUAUAGUAAGAGCCUAAAAUAUCCCCAACAGAGUCGCCAUGCUGUCGCACCCCCUUUUUUCCCUUUACGGGGAAGUCCGGGUUUCGACAUUCAUGGGGGAACAACUCGUUUCCUUUUGGGAACUAGGUAUUUGAAGAGUCCCCACCUAACGGAUUAUGGUGCGUUACGAAACCUAGAGCGAUUAACUCUUGUAACUAGUUUGCAUUACCAGUGAUUAGGGUAAGGGCUCAAAAUAACCUUGAGGAGAAGGUGUUAGGCAUCCCUUGCUGUCCACAAUGGUGGGUCUCGGCCGAACUUAAACUAUAUGAAUUAAUCAAUCAACAAGUAAGCAAGUAUUUGCAAAUAAAGUAGCUUUCCCCAUCUAAAUGCAUAUAUAAUUAAGGAAGUUCAGAUAAUGAAGGUAAAGAGGUUUGGAAAGCUUACACAUGUAUAUGUAAAGAAAAGGAAGUUUAGAGAAUUUAAACACAUAAGGGAAUUGGGAAAGGGAAGUCCUAAUUUAAUUAGCCUACAGGAUCAUACCCAUGCAAUGCCCGGUAAUCACUCCUCAAUGAGAGGGGCUAUACGUGACAUUAGUGCGCAUGUCAUCAUAUCCUUUUACUACCCAUUACCCUCCCCUUAGCGGUUAUAUAAGCGAGUUUAAUUAAUGACCUCUAAGGGUGCUGCUACCCGUCCCUUCCUUAUGGUCCUGGAGGAAUUUAGGACCUCUAAAUCUGGACAGUUAUAGACAACCUAUGGUUUUUAAAGGUUAAAAAUCUAGGAAACAAGAAAACAACAUGUAGGACAAGCAAAUAGGGACAAACAGUUAGAAGGCUCAUAUUUACCUCUGCACGUAUAUAGGCGAACAAACAGCACGUCUAAAACACAGAUUGUAAAGAAGCUCAAAAAUCCUAAGAACAUGAUAUCUAGAUGAAUGUUACAGAUUCAGGAUAUGCAUAAAGAAAGUGGCAGAAUCCUAACAAGUUUGCCUACUGGUUUUACAGCUUGUUAAGCCUGGAUGAUUUCACAUAUAAACAGAACUGGUUUCAUAGUUACUUAACGUCCUAAGGCUUGCCUAAGUGUGUAUAUGCAGUCACAAUUCUGGGAAACAUUUUGAAGUUCUUCAUCCUAUAGGCAUGCUUUCUAGUGACAUUUAAGAAGUCACUGCAUGGUGUUCCCGUUUUAGCACUUAAUGCACACGGUAAUACCCUAUGGACAUGAGUUCUAUCUCUAAUGAAUGAAACUGUUAUUAGUUUUGUUAGACACGCAUACUAACUGAGAAAGUAUGACCACCAAUUAAACCUACAUGCAUGAUUUCUAAAGAGACGGAUUUGAAUAUAUGUUGUAAUGAAAGUUGAACCUUAGUUAUUUUAUUCCCUAUAGGCAUGACGUUUAAUCAUGUAAAGCAAAGCAGGAAGAACUUAAUUCACCCAAAGCAAACCCUAUAGGCAGGUUAUCUAACAAAACACAUUUGAACCAAAGUAAAUCUUAUAGGCAUGUUAUCUACCCAGCUUUACCCACAGUACCAUAUAACUACCCUCCCUUUUCACUAGUCACCCCAAUAUCUAUUUACAAUUAAUUAUUACAGACCAAUAAUUGAAUAAAAAUUCAUAAAUAGAAUAUAAAUUAAGCUAUAGGGAGACUGAAGUAGGCCCAAAGCAAAUCCUGGUGUACCAGGCCUCCAGUAGUCUCACAUGCCCAAGGUUUCAUUGCCAAUUUCAUGUCCAGGUGUGUCAGAGUUUCCUAAGGACCUCAAGGAUCCUGGGCAGUGCUCACACCCAGACUUUCUCAAAUAAGGACUGAUUAUGUGCAGUAUGGAAGAGCCAUCCCUGGUAUGCCAGAGUUCAGAGAGAUCUCAAGGAUCUCUAAGCAGUACACAUAUCAGGGGGGCAUGACUUAAUAAUCUAAGAGUAAGUGAGAGUGCAUAAUUUGAAAAGGGUUUUGGUAAACAACAUAGAGAGGACUCUUAGAGGUGAAAAGAUUUUCUGAAAACCAGUACUAAUUUGGUGGUAAAAUAUCUUGAGGAAAGUAUGAAAACACUUUGAAAUCAAAACACAAAUCACAGAACAACCAUAUUCAGAAACAUUUGGCAAGCAGGUUCCACACAUGGAGAGAGGGGUUGGGGACACAUAGAGCACACCUUAGUGUAUAAUGGAGCAUAGAAGUAAACAUAUGUACAGAAUUACUAAUUUAGUUACAAGGGUAGGUGAUUGAGACAUGGAGCAAAGAUGUUGAGAACACAUAAGCCUCAAACAAACAACUAUAGAGACUAGAUGACUUAGUAAAGUAGAGUAGGAAAUGACUUAAAUGAACAGACUAGGCAAAACACCACACAAGCAUUUAUAAUGUGGGCAUACUAAUCACACACUGAAUAAAACAAGAUUUUAGACAUGCUAGAUAAACAGUAGACAUGUAAGCAUAGUUGAGACAUGCUAAUCACAUAUUGAACAAGGAAGCAGUAGGCAUGCUAGAUAACAGUAGACAGGCAAGUAGAGUUGAGACAUGCUAAUCACAUAUUGAACCAGACAAUUUAGGCAUGCUGGAUAAACAGUAAACAUGAGCAGGAAUGAACUCAUAACUGAUGAACUAAGGCAGUAAUGAAACACAUAGGGUUUAGAUUCUAAAAUUUAAUCAGAGGCAUACCAGUUAAGGGAAAGAGAACACAAGAUGUAAGACAGGUGUUGUGCAGUUUCUAGCCUUGGUUUACAACCGACAAGACUAAUGAAUAUCACAAGUAACAGAAAAAAUAGAGAGCUUUUUAGAGUGUAAGAGUAACGGUGAACUAAUGUUCGUCUUAAACUGAGAAUAGAGAAGAGUAUAUAUAGCAGUUUAGGAGCGGAGCGGAAUAAGGUAAAAUAAAUCAAAACUCAGCAAUCAGGGAAAUUACAAGAUCAAUCACACACGCAAUCAGCGUAGUCUUCCUUUAAUUAAGGAUAAUUACUCAACGGUUAAAGGACAGGAGUCACUUAAGGAAAUAAAAUCAAAUCAAACCUAAGUAAAGAGGUAGAAAACAAGAGUUUAAUUAAGGAAAUAAUCGUGAUGAAUCAGUAACAUUACAGGCAAUAAGGUAAUAAGAAUAAUUAAAGUCGUAAAUAAGGGAAUGAAUCACGAAUCAACACAUAAUUUUUAACCAAGCAAAUCAGUAAAUCAAAAAUCCAAAAUAGUACUGAUUAAGGAGAGGAAAAAUAUCAGUUUCCACAAAUAGAUGAGUAGGCUAAAUAAAACUUCAUAAACAUACAUAAAUUAGCCAAGAGAUCGACUCAGAAACCCUAGUAGAGAUGAACUAGGGCAAAAGUCACAAGAUACUGAAUUAGACUAAGAAAAAUCAUGGAAGUCAAAGCACAAAUAUAAACAAUGUAACAAGUAACACGGCGAGACUCAGAAUCAAAGCAAAAUGUCGAAAAAGGUUGGGGUUUCAAUAUAAACUAGUGAGGGUUGAAGAAAACUCUACGAAAUUAGUCAAAAACACAUGAAAAUAGAAGAUUAAAUACUUAAAGUCAGUAAAACAUUUUAAAGAAAAACGGUUUUCAGGAAACCUUAGUUUAAGAAAAUGGAAAGCCACUCGUAAAACCAGAAGAUUUUCAUAAAAAACAAAGUGAAGUGAGUUCGAUUCAUCUCAGAUCUGGACAAAUCUGAGAAGAUCAAAGGAUAAAAAAUUAGGGUUUUUUUAGAAAGGCAACAGAGACGAGCUUAGACUUAGGAAACCGUGGAUUCAAGACGAAAAAUGAGAAAGAUCUUACUCAAGGUCAAGCCAAACAGCCUGAAACGUGCAAGAAAACCCCAAGGUGUAAACAGACCGCCUAGGUCCCUUGAGGAUCUCCUUAAGGAUCCAAAAAAUGGAGACACCAUAGCAAGCAGGAGGCCAUUAGAGGCCUGAGGUGGUAAAGAGCCCCCAUAAGAGGGCAGUAGAUGAGUGACGGUGCCUGAAGAUUAGGGUUUAGGUAGAGAGCAGUUGAGAGAGGAGGGAAUAGAUGACGGCGGGGAAGGGGUGGGAAAUGAUUAGGUUAGAAAGGGGUAUAUGGGUUUAAUUAAGGUAAGGGGAGAUCUGGACCGUUGAUCAAAAUGAUCAACGGCCAAGAUAGGCCGGGUAUUGGGUCGAGUAAGCUUAAAUUGGGUUAGGGUCAGAUGGGAUUUAGGCCUGGUUAGAUUUUGGGCUAAUGUGGGAUUAAAAAUUGUACUGUCUAAUUGGCUGGGUACAAAUGAAUGGGGCUAUUUGUUAAAUACAUAUUUAAUCGCUAAAAGAGUUUUUAAAAAUACUUAAUACAUUAUAAAAAUGAUUUCCAUGCCUGGAAAUGUUUUAAAAUAGUUACUUAAUAUUUUAAAAAUAUAAAAGGUUGUUUUCUGGUAAAAUAAUGUAAUAAUGCGUGCGUGGGCUAUAAUUGCAACCUAAAAAUACAAAAGUGGCUAUUUGUGCAAUAAUUGAAACUUAGUAUAAAUGUGAAUGAGAAAAUUAAGCCACAAAAAAUUAUUAUAAAACUAUUUGUGAUGCAAUCAAUGAUUGUUUUAUAAAUAAAAUGUUGGGAUAAAUUAAUAAAAAUAUUUUAAAAAUACAGAAAUUGUAUGAAAAAUACUACAAUUGAUGCCAAGGCAUAGUUUUAAAACUAUUAUGGGGAAAAAUUGGGUAUCAACAUCGGGUGGCUUGCUUCAGCGGUUAGAUAUCCCAGAGUAGAAGUGGAAGCGAAUCAUCAUAGAUUUUGUAGUCAGACUCCCACGGACUUUGAAGAAAUUCGAUGCUAUUUGGGUGAUUGUGGAUCGGCUGACCAAGUCCGCGCACUUCAUUCCUGUGUUCACUACCUAUUCUUCAGAGCGGUUAGCAGAUAUUUAUAUCCAGGAGAUUAUUCGCUUGCAUGGUGUCCCAGUUUCCAUCAUUUCAGAUAGAGGUACUCAGUUUACAUAGCAGUUUUGGAGAGCCGUGCAGUGAGAGUUGGGUACUCAGGUUGAGUUGAGCACAGUUUUUCACCCUCAGAAGGACGGGCAGUCCGAGCGUACUAUUCAGAUAUUGGAGGACAUAUUGCGCACUUGUGUCAUUGAUUUUGGGGGUUCAUGGGAUCAGUUUCUACCACUCGUAGAGUUCACUUAUAACAAUAGUUAUCUGUCGAGUAUUCAGAUGGCUCCAUAUGAGGCUUUAUAUGGGAGAUGGUUUAGAUAUCCAUUUGGUUGGUUUGAGCCGGGUGAGGCUAGGCUUUUGGGUACAGACAUGGUACAUGAUGCUUUGGACAAAGUGAAGGUGAUUCAGGAGCGGCUUCGUACAGCGCAGUCAAAACAAAAGAGUUAUGCGGAUAGGAAGGUUCGUGAUGUGUCUUACAUGGUUAGGGAGAAAGUUCUACUGAAGGUUUCACCCAUGAAGGGAGUUAUGAGAUUUGGGAAGAAGGGUAAAUUGAGUCCUCGGUUCAUUGGGCCUUUUGAGGUGCUUUAGAGGAUUAGGGAGGUGGCUUAUGAUCUUGCUUUACCACCUAGCUUGUCGAGUGUGCAUCCGGUAUUUCAUGUUUUUAUGCUCUGAAAGUAUAUUGGUGAUCCGUCUCAUGUUUUGGAUUUCAGCACGGUGCAGUUAAACGGUGAUUUGACCUAUGAUGUGGAGCCAGUGGCUAUUUUGGAGCAGCAGGUCCAAAAGUUGAGAUCAAAGGAUAUAGCUUCAUAAAGUGCAGUGGGGAGGUCGGCCCGUGGAGGAGGCUACCUGGGAGACUGAGCGAGAGAUGCGGAGCAGAUAUCCUUACUUGUUUGAGGCUUUAGGUAUGUUUCUUGACUCGUUAAAGGACGAACGUUUAUUUAAGAGGGGGAGGAUGUAACGACCCAGCCGGUCGUUUCAUGAGUUACCGCUCCAUUUUGCCCAUUUCUGCUUCUUUAUUUGUUGUUCAGCUAUAUUUCAUCGUAUCACAUUGGUUGGUUUGGGUUCAGAGUGGUUUUGUAGAGAAAUGAGACACUUAGUCUCUUUUUUAGGAAACUUUAGUUGGAAAAGUCAACCGAAAGUUGACUUGUGAGUAAAUGAUCUCGGAACUUGGUUUUUAUGAUUCAGAUAGCUUCGUGAGGUGAUUUGGGACUUAGGAGCAUGAUCGGAAUGUAUUUUAGAGGUCCGUGGUAGAUUUAGUCUUGAAUUAGCAAAAUUGGAGUUUUGGCGUUUUCCAGUUGGUAGUGAAAAUUUUGAUAUCGGGGUCGGAAUGGAGUUCUGGAAAUUGGAGUAGGUCCGUUGUAUCAUUUUUGAUGUGUGUGCAAAAUUUCAGGUCAUUCGAAUGAGGUUUGAUAGGUUUUUGGAUCGGUUGUAGAAUUUGGAAGUUUUAGAAUCCUUAAGCUUGAAUCCGAGGGUGAUUUGGUGUUUUGAUGUUGUUUUGAGUAUUCCGAAGGUUGGAAUAAGUUUGAAUAGUGAUAUGUGACUUGUUCGUAUUUUUGGAUGAGGUGCCGGGGGCCUCGGGAUGAUUACGGAUGGUUAUCGGAAUGUUUGGAAAUUUGAGAAGGCAGUUGAAGCUGCUGAUUCUGUCAUAACCGCACCUGUGGAGUGGGGACCGCAGGUGCGAGACCGCAGAAGCGAAAGAAAGACCGCAGGUGCGGCCAAGGCUGAGAAGUGCAAGAACCGCAGGUGCAAAAGGUGGAGCGUACCUGCGAGACCGCAGAAGCGGUUCUGGGAGAUUUAAGUGGAAGUUGCUGAUGCGGUGGUCUGGACCGCAGAAGCGGUCCGCAGAUACGAGCAAAUUGGCCGCAGGUGCGAGAUGCCUGGGCAGAAAGUAUAUAAGGUGGACUUCGCGAAAUUUGGAUUAUCUUCCACCAUUUCUAUUCGGACUUGGAGCUUUUUGGAGGGUUUUGAAGAGGUAAUCAAGGGGGUUUUCAUUGAGGUAAGUUUAUUGAACCUAAAACUCGAUUCUAUGAUGAUUUUCAGUUGUUUAAGCAUGAAAUUUGUGGAAUUUAAGGGUUAAAAUUGAAGAUUAGGGCUUGAGUUUUGGAGAGCUUUGAGUGGUGAUUUGAGGAGCCAUUUUAGGUCCAAUUUUGAUGUUCUUGGUAUGUAUAGACUCGUGGAGGAUAAGGAUUCUAGUGAUGUAAUUUUUAUCAAAUUUCGAGAUGUGGGUCCGGGGUCGGAUUUGGUCAAUUUCGGGAUUUUUGAGUUAAUUUGAUAAUUUUCGUAUGGGUUUCAUUCCUUUAGCGUAUAUUGAUGAUAAUAUAGUGAUUUUGGUUAGAUUCGGGGCAUUUGGAGGCCAAAUCGAGAGGCAAGUCGUCGCAGGCUAGAGUUUGGCUUGAUUUGAGGUAAGUAGCGCUUCCAAACUUGGUUAUGAGGGUUCGAAACCCCAAACUAUGUGUUCUAUGAUUACUACUUAGGUGACACAAAUACCAAGUGACGGACGUGUGGGCGUGUACCGUGAGAAUCGCGGCCUAGAUCAUUCCAUGACAUCGCUUAGUGACUCUUUCUUGCUGAUAUAUGUGCUCUAAUUAUGUGAUUAAGUUAAUAAGCUAUAAAUCAUUUAAUUAUCAUAUUAAGGCUUCACGCCAAUACUGUUGAGACCCGAGAGGUCGUUUCUUGCUGUCAUAUCAUUAGCUUCAUUGAUAUUCUGUACUAAGUCCUGUUCAUGCAUAUUAUAUCAUGCCUCAGUCUCGAUUAUUGUUAUUUGACACAUCAUAUCAUUAUUCAGGCUAGUAUCAUGAUAUUUUGAUCCCGUGUGUGAGACUGGAGAGUGAUGACUGAGUGAGGCCGAGUGCUUGAUAUUGAGUGAUAGUAUGAGAUCGGGCUGCACGCCAUAGCAAGAUAUUGAUUAUGCCUUCGUUGGCUUGUUAUAGUGCUUGGGCUGAAAGGAGCCCCUCUGGAGUCUUUACACCCCUAGUGAGCGCAGUUGAUGAUAUUGAGGGAUGGAUCUUCCCUGGACAUGGAUCUUUUCCGAAGUAUUUAUACCUGGAGAUGGAUCUUCUCCAUAGGGCUGGAAUGGCCUUCCUCGGUACUAGAUAACUGCGGUCAGUGAUGUAUAUAUACUUCGGGAUGGAUCUUCCCUGGGCCGGAUGACCAUAUACAGUACCGAGUGGUUGAGCACUUGUGAGUGGAGGUAUACGGAAUAUUGAUCAUGAUAUCUGUGCAUUGGUACAUUGAGAUUUUCCUGAGUUUCAUACUCCAUACUGUUCAGACUGCAUUUAUUUACUGUUGAGUUUUUACUUGAACUGCAAGCAUGUCUACUUUUUUUCUGUACAGUAAUUGUAUUACUUGUUGAGGUUUGGUUCGUCACUACCUAUCAGUCCAUAGUUUGGACUUGUUACUUAUUGAGUUGGUGUACUCACGUUACCCUCUGCACCUUGUGUGCAGAUCCAGGCAUCUCAGGGCACGGUAGCAGCUGUUGACUAUUCCGGUCGCGGGCUUCAUGGAGAUAGCGAGGUAGCUGCUUGGCGAUUCACAGUUCCGCUUUUCUCCUUCUCGAUCUUCCUAUUAGUACUUUGUUGCUAUUUUCAGACUAUUUGGUCUUGUCUUAUUUCAGAACUAUUGUAGCAUGGCUCAUGACUUAAUGACACCCGAGGUCGGGCUUGUAUUUUUUUUCC